AUACGGAGGGUGCAAGCGUUAUCCGGAAUCAUUGGGUUUAAAGGGUCCGUAGGCGGAUAAUUAAGUCAGGGGUGAAAUCCCACAGCUCAACUGUGGCACUGCCUUUGAUACUGGUUAUCUUGAGUUAUAGGGAAGUAGAUAGAAUAUGUAGUGUAGCGGUGAAAUGCAUAGAUAUUACAUAGAAUACCGAUUGCGAAGGCAGUCUACUAUCUGUAUACUGACGCUAAGGGACGAAAGCGUGGGGAGCGAACAGAAUUAGAAACCCUAGUAGUCC
RNAcentral lists this ribosomal RNA (274 nucleotides) under uncultured bacterium. RNAcentral's name for it is "partial 16S ribosomal RNA". It matches the Rfam family "Bacterial small subunit ribosomal RNA", at positions 523 to 796 of the family's 1533-position model. The record is from RNAcentral.